This is a long non-coding RNA of Juglans microcarpa x Juglans regia, 916 nucleotides long. RefSeq lists it as uncharacterized. The transcript is spliced from 2 exons. The record is from RefSeq and is a predicted model, not a curated record. NCBI's taxonomy places the organism in Eukaryota, Viridiplantae, Streptophyta, Magnoliopsida, Fagales, Juglandaceae.
UUAGGAACUUCUAGUAGUUUUUUUGUUAUUCUUGGCAGCAUCUGAUCUUUUUUUCAAUAACCUUUUGUAAUAAAGCUUUCGUUCGCUAUAGUAAGGUAUUGAAAUAAAGCUUCUAGUGGUGAUUCCUCUAUUUUUAUUAAAAAAAAAAAAAAAGAAGCUGCUUCGUGUUACAAAGGAACCAAAACAGGUAAUACAAAAUUGCUUGCAUAUGAUGGUGAAAAUAAAGAGGGUAGAAAGAAGAAAAUCAAGCACAAAAAUGGAUAAUUGAACAACAAAUGUUUUCCACUAAUUGGAUAAUUGAACAACAAAUGUUUUCCACUAAGUUUGUAAAGAUGUUUCUAUGACAACAACUUUUUGGGAUGUGAACAGGCAAGUAGAUAAUUUUCCUUUUCUGUUGUGGUUCCUAUUUGAAUAGUUAAUAAGCAUUUUGUAACUUCUCUGUCCAUCCGUCACUUGUGCAAAUUUAUUGAUUUAAUUUUCCGUUUCUUGGUCUGUGAAUGGCAAGUAUAGCUUGAGCUACAUCCCUUUCGCGAGGUCCAUGGUUUCAAAUCAUUGCAAGGUGUGCAUGCAGACAUUUAUGUGCACCACUAAGAAGGUGAAGUGCAGGGAGCUUGCGGAAGGAAAUCACCCCAAAUCUGAUGUUUAUACUUGCUUCCCUCAUCUCAAAAAAUGAAUGAAUGUGGAGAUGGAUUGAGAGUAUCAUCAUAUGUAAAUCUUUCUAUUAUGAUGUGGUUACAUCGUGGUUGCUUUAUGCAUGUUGUGGUACUGUCUGUUUGAGAGAGGGAGAGGGAGAAGGAGAGUGAUGUAUACUUGCUCUUUGUUCAAGUGGAACUCAGUGUUCAAUUAUAAUGAAUAUUGAUGCCAUUGGUGAUGCAAGCUUAUUUAAUUGUGAUGAGAAAUGCAUUGAUCAUGAAAA